CCAGGAAGUGCUGUUGCAGUUGGGUUGAUGAAAGUGUGAGGAUCCAUCUCCAUCCAGCUUGUUCUUUUAGUUUAAAGUGAUCCAGUCAGCUUACACAUUUCUACAUACACAUUUUCUGCCUUACGGAAGGUCUUACGCCACUGGAGAAACAUCAGAGAGAGACGUUUAAAGCUGAGUGGAGUGGCAAACAGGUUACCACAAGGUCCUUAACCCCUGUCUGCAGUGCCCCCUGGUGUGUGGACACCGGCGUUUACAAUUUGUUUAGAUGUGAAACAAGUUGCUCAUUAACCAAAACUAAGUGCCACAGGUGGAGGCUGUUGAAAAGAGGCCUGAUGGAUGUUUUCCUGUGUUAAUGGUCCUUAUCAGUGGAAACCUCUAAUGCUGGCUAUGAGAGAGAAUAAACUUCCACGUGCAACCACAGCGUCACCAGUUCUAUUCACCCGACACCAAGAAGCAUUAUCAGGCAGAAACACAGCAGAAGUGAAUGUGCGUGGAGCUGAUGGAUUGCACCCUGAGUCAUGCAUGACUUAGCAUCUCGUUUGUUUCCCCCGCUAGCAUAGACGGUGGAACAACGGCAGGAUUUACACAGACACAAAAAGCUGACAAAUCAUUUGUCUCAUCCUGUGUCACCUUUCUACUCCUGCUUUGUGCUGGAAUCCAUGGUGGAAACCUAUCCAGGGAUGUCUGCCCUUUAGCCAUGAUGCUAGCUAACAACAAGAUCUGAUAGAGCUGUACGAUAACUGUAGGAUGUGAACUGCAGAACUUUACCACCCCUACCUCCAUAUCCUUACUUACAUGACUGAUUACAUAAAGGAUGCACUACUUCCUGCAUUGACAGUGAACACUGACUUCUGACCGAACUUUGGCAUUGGAUGUACAGUAAAUAUGAAAACAAGGCUGGCACAUGCAUAGUUAUGUAUUAACAUAUAAGGUCUAGGCAAUACGAUUUAAAGUCUAAAUCACAAAUAAUUGUCACCUUUAUCUCUAAUUAUAUAUGGUAACUUUUUAAUGCAUCAGUACGUGAGAUUUUCUUUCUCGUGCUUGCUUUAUUUUUAAAAGUUUGUCUAGAUUUUUCCAGUAUGAACAUUUAGAGAUUGGACUGGACUUCUGGCUAAAUGUUUGGUUGAAUGUCUUGUUAGAUGUCACUGGUUAUUGUCUGUUCUCACUCUAGUAUUUAUUUAUUGAAAAGUCGGUAAGAGAUUCACAAUGUUGGAAAUGCAAUAAAUUUGGUCAGUUUUCCAGCCCUAGUAUGUAUGUUGUUAUGUCUGUAUAUCUAUGUAGGUAAGCAAGUAGAUAUUUACUGUAUGUAUGAAGUGUGUGUACAGUAUGUGUCCGAUGAAAGUUAAUACUUCUAUGUGAAAUUAAAUCAUAAGACCUC
This is a long non-coding RNA of Siniperca chuatsi (mandarin fish), 1378 nucleotides long. RefSeq lists it as uncharacterized. The record is from RefSeq and is a predicted model, not a curated record. The transcript has 7 exons. Lineage: Eukaryota; Metazoa; Chordata; Actinopteri; Centrarchiformes; Sinipercidae.